UUUGUGGUGGGGGAGUAGCCGGCUACGCCCGGGUAAUACCGCAUACGGUUGCCGAGGGGAGUCCCUUGGCAAAGAAACCUCCGGGGCACAGAGAGGGGCUCGCGGCCUAUCAGCUAGUUGGGGGGGUAAUGGCCCACCAAGGCGACGACGGGUAGCUGGUCUGAGAGGAUGGCCAGCCACAUUGGGACUGAGAUACGGCCCAG
This 203-nucleotide ribosomal RNA is filed under the name uncultured bacterium. RNAcentral's name for it is "partial 16S ribosomal RNA". It matches the Rfam family "Bacterial small subunit ribosomal RNA", at positions 131 to 334 of the family's 1533-position model. The record is from RNAcentral.